GUCAGCCGGCCGGAGACAGAGACUUCACGACUCCCAGCCUCCUCCUCGCCGCGGCCGCCGCCUCCUCCUUCUCUCCUCCUCCUCUUCCUCCUCCUCCCUCGCUCCCACAGCCAUGUCUGCUUAGACCAGAGCAGCCCCACAGCCAACUCGGGCAGCUGCCGCCGCCACAACAGCAAGGACAGCCGCUGCCGCCGCCCGUGAGCGAUGACAGGAGUGUUUGACAGAAGGGUCCCCAGCAUCCGAUCCGGCGACUUCCAAGCUCCGUUCCAGACGUCCGCAGCUAUGCACCAUCCGUCUCAGGAAUCGCCAACUUUGCCCGAGUCUUCAGCUACCGAUUCUGACUACUACAGCCCUACGGGGGGAGCCCCGCACGGCUACUGCUCUCCUACCUCGGCUUCCUAUGGCAAAGCGCUCAACCCCUACCAGUAUCAGUAUCACGGCGUGAACGGCUCCGCCGGGAGCUACCCAGCCAAAGCUUAUGCCGACUAUAGCUACGCUAGCUCCUACCACCAGUACGGCGGCGCCUACAACCGCGUGCCAAGCGCCACCAACCAGCCAGCUUUCAGCUGGCCGCAUUACAGAGAAGGUUUCAGAAGACUCAGUACCUCGCCUUGCCGGAACGCGCCGAGCUGGCCGCCUCGCUGGGAUUGACACAAACACAGGUGAAAAUCUGGUUUCAGAACAAAAGAUCCAAGAUCAAGAAGAUCAUGAAAAACGGGGAGAUGCCCCCGGAGCACAGUCCCAGCUCCAGCGACCCAAUGGCGUGUAACUCGCCCCAGUCUCCAGCGGUAUGGGAGCCCCAGGGCUCGUCCCGCUCGCUCAGCCACCACCCUCAUGCCCACCCUCCGACCUCCAACCAGUCCCCAGCGUCCAGCUACCUGGAGAACUCUGCAUCCUGGUACACAAGUGCAGCCAGCUCAAUCAAUUCCCACCUGCCGCCGCCCGGCUCCUUACAGCACCCGCUGGCGCUGGCCUCCGGGACACUCUAUUAGAUGGGCUGCUCUCUCUUACUCUCUUUUUUGGGACUACUGUGUUUUGCUGUUCCAGAAAAUCAUAAA
This 1058-nucleotide small RNA is filed under the name Pongo abelii (Sumatran orangutan). Its description in RNAcentral is "processed transcript". Lineage: Eukaryota; Metazoa; Chordata; Mammalia; Primates; Hominidae. The record is from RNAcentral.